CUCAUGGUUUCACGGUAUUGCAAUGAGAACAAUUUAAAACCCUUAGCGGGAAUCAAGUGGAGGACAAGUCUGGUGCCAGCACCCGCGGUAAUUCCAGCUCCACUAGCGUAUAUUAAAGUUGUCGCAGUUAAAAAGCUCGUAGUUGAACCUCUGUCUGGGGCUAGUUUUGGCUUUGGUCAGGCUAGUUCUAGGCAUCCGCCUACAAGACUUAGAGGGCAUUCAGUUGUUCACUAGGAGGAGUAGGCAUUUUACUUUGAAAAAAUUAGAGUGUUUGAGGCAGGCAAUCGCCCGCAUAUAUUAGCAUGGAAUAAUAGAAUAGGACACUUUUCCAUUUCGUUGGUUAUUGGAAUCGUGUAAUGAUUAAUAGGGACAGUUGUGGGCAUUUGUAUUUAAUUGUCAGAGGUGAAAUUCUUGGAUUUAUUAAAGACAAACUAACGCGAAAGCAUUUGCCAAGGAUGUUUUCAUUAAUCAAGAACGAAAGUUAGGGGAUCAAAGACGAUCAGAUACCGUCCUAGUCUUAACUAUAAACUAUUCCGACUCAAUGUUUGACUGGCUUAUAUAACCAGUUGAGCGUUGUAUGAGAAAUCAAAGUCUUUAGGUUCUGGGGGGAGUAUGGUUGCAAAGCUGAAACUUAAAGGAAUUGACGGAAGAGCACAACCAGGAGUGGAUUCUGCGGCUUAAUUUGACUCAACACGGGGAAACUUACCAGGUUAAAACAAUAGUGGGAUUGACAGUUUGAGAGCGCUUUCUUGAUUGGUUGGGUGGUGGUGCAUGGCCGUUCUUAGUUGGUGGAGUGAUUUGUCUGCUUAAUUGCGUUAACGAACGAGACCUUAACCUGCUUACUAGACUGGCGAUCAUCAAUCGUUAGCUCUUCUUAGAGGGACUUUGGUUGUUUUAACUCCAAGGAAGUUUGAGGCAAUAACAGGUCUGUGAUGCCCUUAGAUAUCCUGGGCCGCACGCGUCAUACAAUGACUAGUUCAGAAAGUUUUCUCCUGACCCGAAAGGGGAUGGGUAUUCUUGAUAAUACUAGUCGUGUUAGGGAUCGAUCUUUGCAAUUAUAGAUCUUGAACGAGGAAUUCCUAGUAAGUGCGGUUCAUCAGACCGUACUGAUUACGUCCCUGCUCUUUGUACACACCGCCCGUCGCUUCUACCGAGUGGGUGGUCCGGUGAGAUAAUUGAACUUCGCAGGUAACUGAGAGGAAAGAUUAUCAAACCUAUCCACCU
RNAcentral lists this ribosomal RNA (1224 nucleotides) under metagenome. RNAcentral describes it as "SSU rRNA". It matches the Rfam family "Eukaryotic small subunit ribosomal RNA", at positions 493 to 1774 of the family's 1831-position model. The record is from RNAcentral.